RNAcentral lists this transfer RNA (87 nucleotides) under bacterium. RNAcentral's name for it is "tRNA-Tyr". It matches the Rfam family "tRNA". Rfam says of the family: Transfer RNA (tRNA) molecules are approximately 80 nucleotides in length. Their secondary structure includes four short double-helical elements and three loops (D, anti-codon, and T loops). The record is from RNAcentral.
GGAGAUGUGUGCCGAGCGGCGAAGGCAGCUGACUGUAAAUCAGUGACAUCAGAAACACCGUAGGUUCGAUUCCUACCGUCUCCACCA